Podarcis lilfordi (Lilford's wall lizard) is the source of this 122-nucleotide non-coding RNA. The record is from the annotation of a GenBank genome assembly. NCBI's taxonomy places the organism in Eukaryota, Metazoa, Chordata, Lepidosauria, Squamata, Lacertidae.
CUUCCAGUAGCACCUUAGAGACCAACUAAGUUUGGUAUUGGUAUUGGUUAUUUGUUAUUGGCAUGCACACGAAAGCUCACACCAAUAACAAACUGAGUUGGUCUCUAAGGUGCUACUGGAAG